GCCAGACUCCUACGGGAGGCAGCAGUGGGGGAUAUUGCACAAUGGGGGGAACCCUGAUGCAGCGACGCCGCGUGGGUGAAGGAGAGCUUCGGCAUGUAAAGCCCUAUCGGCAGGGAAGAAGCAAGACGGUACCUGACUAAGAAGCCCCGGCUAACUACGUGCCAGCAGCCGCGGUAAUACGUAGGGGGCGAGCGUUAUCCGGAUUCACUGGGUGUAAAGGGAGCGUAGACGGCCAUGCAAGCCAGGGGUGAAAGCCCGGGGCCCAACCCCGGGACUGCCCUUGGAACUGCAUGGCUGGAGUGCGGGAGGGGCAGGCGGAAUUCCUGGUGUAGCGGUGAAAUGCGUAGAUAUCAGGAGGAACACCGGCGGCGAAGGCGGCCUGCUGGACCGCGACUGACGUUGAGGCUCGAAAGCGUGGGGGGCGAACAGGAUUAGAUACCCCAGUAAUC
This 449-nucleotide ribosomal RNA is filed under the name uncultured bacterium. RNAcentral's name for it is "bacterial SSU rRNA". It matches the Rfam family "Bacterial small subunit ribosomal RNA", at positions 330 to 795 of the family's 1533-position model. The record is from RNAcentral.